Molecule: long non-coding RNA, 2410 nt
Organism: Gorilla gorilla gorilla (western lowland gorilla)
Lineage: Eukaryota; Metazoa; Chordata; Mammalia; Primates; Hominidae
Exons: 7
Source: RefSeq, a predicted model, not a curated record
AUCACAAACGCUUCUGGUCCACAGUUUUUUUUCCUCUUCAGAAACUACCCUAAACAAGGAAGUUUGUGUUCCAAGGUAAGAGAACCUGAAGUGAAAAACUCAGGAUCCUUCACGAACAGCCUGACCCUGCUUUCAACCAGGAAGUUCAAGGGAGGCAGGACUUUACGGUCAAAACUGCAAAGCCGAAGCUCAAGACUGUAAGAAGAAAGUGGUCUUCAAAGAAAAGGAUUCACCCAAAUCGAAGAGGAUAUCGUUUCGCAUCAGGGACACUCGUCUCCACACCUCCUACCUCAAAGUCCUGCGCACCUACCCUUCAUGUCUCUCCAAAGCAACUGAAUUAAAGCGCCUACUGGCCUUGGCGGCGCAGGUCCCAAGAUUUUGACUGGUUGGUUGUACGACUAGAGUUGCUGGAGUUCAAGUAUUUUCAUUUUAACUAUUCAACUGAAAGCAGUGCGUUACAAUAGAACAUGGGUUCCAAAAAAUUUACUGAGAAGAAGCAAAGUAAUACUUGGGAGAACUGAUAAUACACAGACUUCUCAUGAAAAUCAACCAACAUAUAGAAGAAUAUAUAGAAUAAAGCAAAAAUCAUCAGAAACUCCACAGUCUUGGAUGACCAUAGUUGAUAUUCUGAAUGGCUUCUGUUCCGAUUGAACCUUGACUGAUGUAGCACCUAUCACCAAAUUGCUGUUCAGGAAAUAUGUCCUAAAGAAACUCCCAACAACAGCAAUACAUCAGAGUGGCACCUCUUUACACUGGUUCUUGAAGAUGUCAGAAUGGGAUUUGCAGUAGACUCCCAGCAGCCCCCAGGAGCACCAAGUGAGAUGCCUGCCAGGCCCACUGUGUCCACUGCCCUCUGGUAGCACCUGAGGAUCACGGAAAUUAAAUCCUGGUAGAUAAAGGGGAAGACAUAAGGAAGACAAGACAAGGGACUGAGGAAAUGUUGGGGAAGAUGAGAACACCUCAGAAACCACAAUUGAAGAAUUCCUAGGACCCCCAGGUAAAGCUGUUUGGGUGUGAUACAUCCUUGGGCAUAUUGUUGACUGACUUUUAGGCUUGAGGGAAGAUACUCUUUGUUUUAAACAAGGUGGAUGGAAAUGAAGGUGGAGAGAAACACCAUGAGAAAGAUUUUAAUGCAAAGCCAAUCCAAGCACCAUCUCUUAGAGCCUUAUUUCUUUUCAGCAGCUCUCUGGAUUGUUCUAAGAAGUGAUGGGUAAUUUUAUAAAAGUCUUAAGCUGUUGUUAAGAGAUCUUUUUAAAGCUGAAGGCAAAACAAACAAACAUGAUGUCCUACAAAGCUGAGAAUAAGCUCCAGAGAGAGGGAAGGCAGCAGAAAUAGUUACUGGGAUGGGGAAAGAGAUCGCAGUGUACCUUGUCUCAAGCCCUAUGAACGCUGUCGCCUCACCCUCUUGCAAAGUCCCGUGGGCAGCCUGAGCUUGGCUGAGAGGGGAGGCAACAGAGACACCAGGAUGGGAGAGCUCGGAGCUAUUUCGGACUCCAGGCCAACAUCCACGGAGACCUUGAGUUACGUCAUCGGAACUGUCUGGACUUUGGUCCCCUUAUGCCAAAUGCGGUUUCCAGAAAAAGGAUCCGCAGCGUAUUUGGAAGCUCAUCAACUAAAAGUUGUCUCGUCACUUUCAUGCGUGAGAUCUUUUCAUUUGUGAAGAGCAUAUUAUUUUGCUUAAUUAUGGGCUGCGAGGAGGUGGCAUAGAGCAGUGGAAAAAGCCUGGGCUCUGGAGUCAGAGAGACCUAGGUCUGAAUCAUGGCUCUGCCAUCCACCAGCUACGGGACACUGGCCUGGUGGGCCUGUUUCCUUGUCCAUAAACUGAGAGUAAUCUUGCAAUAAUUAACUAUCUUGGAGGGAGGUUGUUAGGAUAAGACGAUAAAUGCAUGUCAAGAAUCUUGUUCUGCUGUUCAGAUAUUUAAUCAUCAGUCGCUGUUAUUAAUAAAGUAUCUGACUGUUCAGUAACAUUUAGCAUAUGAGAUUUCUCGUUCACUGUAACAGUAUGGCUAUAGUGAUAUACAUAAUCUCCUUUUGCUUGUGAAUACUGCUAAAAUUAAAUUCCCAUUUCUCAAAGACGUUUUCUUAUAUGGAGUCUUACCGAUGAUGAUUUUCAGCACCAUGACAAUUUGUUGUUUUUAAAUCCUUAUAGUUUAUUUUGUAAUCAUCUAUGCCAUAACUAAUUACACUCUUUUUUUCAAGGAAAGGGGCACAUCCAGAAAGGAGAUAAGAUCAGAAGCCUUUAUUUCCACUAUUCAGCCACUCACUGCCUGAGACUUAACUUCAUUUCAAGUAAGGGGAUAAUAUUUGGCCCCUAAGUAUCUUACAAGGGUUUUGUUUUCCCUAAGAGAAAAAAAAGUAGGUAAGAUCAUAAGUAAGAAAGGAUUUUUUGAAUUAAAAAUAUAUGCAAAUG